Molecule: ribosomal RNA, 2229 nt
Filed under: Triticum aestivum (bread wheat)
Lineage: Eukaryota; Viridiplantae; Streptophyta; Magnoliopsida; Poales; Poaceae
Description: partial small subunit ribosomal RNA
Source: RNAcentral
ACGCAAUCUUCUGCCCUCCUAUCGUUCACUCCUCGCCUUCUACGCCGCCGCUCCUCCCUUGCUCGCCCCCAUCCCUCUCCUCGACAUGUUGUGCGGCAACGAUCCCGUUGACGAUGGAGGCUCUGCCCAGAUCAACUGGUCGUGUGAUGUGGGGGAUCUAGGGCGGGCUACUGGAGAAGGUGGGCAAGAGGAGAUGCAGGGUGACCUUGCGAAAGAGGGCGGGCAGACUGGGUGGCGGCAUACCCAGUCGACACGAUGCUGUCGGGGGAGAGGAUCUUGCCGCCGGCAACCAGCCUCGCCGCAUUUGGCCUCCCCAGGUACCCACACCCCUGUAGCCCCCUGAUUUUCCUCCUACCCCCUCCCUCCCCACUCCCGUUCGAAAUCGAAAUCAAAGAGAGGCAAAGCAAAUCGCACCAUGCAAAACACAGAGAGCGCCGCCAUUUCCAUCUUCCGGCGAACUCCAAAAGCGAGCGAGCGAUUCCCAUGAGAGGAGAGGAGGCGGAGAUGGCCAAGGGCGAGGGGCCGGCGAUCGGCAUCGACCUCGGGAUGACCUACUCCUGCGUCGGCGUCUGGCAGCAUGACCGAGUUGAGAUCAUCGCCAACGACCAGGGCAACCGCACCACGCCCUCCUACGUCAACUUCACCGACACCGAGCGCCUCAUCGGCGACGCCGCCAAGAACCAGGUCGCCAUGAACCCCACAAACACCGUCUUCGAUUUAGAUGCACUUGCGGAGUAAUGACAUACAUGGAGAAAUUAAUCAACCGGAUGUUGCAGCAGUCAACCAAAAUUUGCUCCAUCAAGCACGACGAGGACAAACAUCAUCCGCAGCAAGCACAUACGAUAGUUGUCAUGUAACAAACACCACUGCCUCGCUUCUCAUACGACUGAAACAUGAUCUCCAAAUGCAAUGUUGGAACACCUGGCGGAAUUCAGUACUUUGGAGAGCUUGAAAAGCAUUGUUAUUGGGGCAAUGAGCGCCAUGCUGAUGCAUGCCUACACAAUUUAUGGCUUACUGAAUGGUAUGGUAGCUUUGUAGGAUAUGUCUCAGAAUGCACCAUGCCAAGAACUGGUAGACAUUUUCCUCACAUAUUUCAUGGUGAUUUUACAAUUUGAGCAUUUGGCUUGAAUAUUCUUUAAACUUUCCGUCCUUGUGUUCUUAUUGUUUUGGUGUAGCACUUCAUGUCACAAUUGAAUGUUGAAUUCUUACCAUUGCAUAACUUGCAGUAUAUGUUGAUUCAUUACUUAAUGAGUAGUAUGAACUCUCUCCUUUUUGGUUCUAUCUCAUGCCUUCCAGUGUUUUCUGUUUCACACGCCCUAAUCUCUUUGUGUUCAAUGUCAGUUAUUUAGCUCUUUUGAAAUUUGUAGUGCAACUUCUUACUUGCCAUGUCCAUGUAUUACAAGAUAGUAAGAAAGCAAGUGGAAUGGACGUUUGCCAACCUUGCAACGCCCAGCUUCCUCUCAAGAGGCGGCACAUUGUGCCGCCCCAACCCCUAGUAUGAUGCAUACUACGGAGGCCAGUGCAAGAAACUGUAUGUUCUCGCUACAGGUCUCACUAUUGCAUGAUCAUUUCAUUGGUAUGGCGGUGACUUUAUGGGCAAUCUGGACGGCUAGGCGCAAAGCUAACCAUGAAGAUGAUUUUCAAUCUCCUCUUGCGGUACAUUUAUUCAUUACGAUAUUUCUAAUGGGUCUUGAAUCAUCACAGACCAAAAGUCCCUUAGGGUGCAACAUAGGAGGCCAUGGGUGACACCUCCUACAAAUUUUGUGAAAUUAAAUGUGGAUGGAGUUGUUGCUCGGAAUGGACGCAAGCGGCGGUGGGAGUCGUGUGCCGGGACCACUUGGGAGGUUUCCUAGGCUCUUCGGAUAUGGCUUUUAAUCACAUUGUUGAUCACACCACGUUAUAGGCCCUUGCUUGCAGAGAGGCACUAACACUCAACGUUUGAUUUGAAGCUUCAUCAUCUUUAUAUGUUUCAUGUGAUUGUCAAGGGGUGGUGAAAUAUAUAGCAGGAGGAGGUCUACAUGGUGCAAUUAUCAAAGAGAUUUUGCUGAGCAGAACUGACUUUGAAGCUUGUAAUUUUAUUCAUGAGGGUAGAAGUAGUAAUUUUUAGGCUCAUUAUCUGGCUAAGCAUGCAAUGACAGUAUAUGUUGGCCGCCACAUUUGGUUGGGAGUGCCACAUGAUCUUGUAAUGGUGCCUACGAACAUUGUUGAGUAAUAAAGUGAGGUGAAGUU